This 158-nucleotide microRNA precursor is filed under the name Oryza brachyantha (malo sina). RNAcentral describes it as "MIR2118 microRNA precursor family". It matches the Rfam family "MIR2118 microRNA precursor family". Lineage: Eukaryota; Viridiplantae; Streptophyta; Magnoliopsida; Poales; Poaceae. The record is from Rfam by way of RNAcentral.
GCCAAGAACUGGAAGAAAGAGAGGGUCUUACAAUUGUAGUAAUGAGAACAUUAAGGAAAGAUUAAGUGCUUAUGUCUACUCUAGCAUUUGUGUUUCAGUUUUUACUGAUGCCUCUCAUUCCUAUGGUUGUAAGGUGCUCCUUCCUCUUCCUUUGGGCU